AGGAGUUAUGAUGAAUGGCUGAAAAUGUUCAACUGCUCUGAAGUGUGAGUGACAGACGCCUUUCUGAACGACC
Molecule: small nucleolar RNA, 73 nt
Filed under: Kryptolebias marmoratus (mangrove rivulus)
Lineage: Eukaryota; Metazoa; Chordata; Actinopteri; Cyprinodontiformes; Rivulidae
Description: Small nucleolar RNA Z40 (ENSKMAG00000009527.1)
Source: RNAcentral